This 429-nucleotide ribosomal RNA is filed under the name Pseudomonadota bacterium. Its description in RNAcentral is "Proteobacteria bacterium partial 16S ribosomal RNA". It matches the Rfam family "Bacterial small subunit ribosomal RNA", at positions 355 to 776 of the family's 1533-position model. The record is from RNAcentral. Lineage: Bacteria; Pseudomonadati; Pseudomonadota.
UGGGGAAUAUUGGACAAUUGGCGAAAGCCUGAUCCAGCCAUGCCGCGUGUGUGAAGAAGGUCUUCGGAUUGUAAAGCACUUUAAGUUGGGAGGAAGGGCAGUAAGCGAAUACCUUGCUGUUUUGACGUUACCGACAGAAUAAGCACCGGCUAACUCUGUGCCAGCAGCCGCGGUAAUACAGAGGGUGCAAGCGUUAAUCGGAAUUACUGGGCGUAAAGCGCGCGUAGGUGGUUCGUUAAGUUGAAUGUGAAAGCCCCGGGCUCAACCUGGGAACUGCAUCCAAAACUGGCGAGCUAGAGUAGGGCAGAGGGUGGUGGAAUUUCCUGUGUAGCGGAGAAAUGCGUAGAUAUAGGAAGGAACACCAGUGGCGAAGGCGACCACCUGGGCUCAUACUGACACUGAGGUGCGAAAGCGUGGGGAGCAAACAGG